Molecule: non-coding RNA, 24 nt
Filed under: Cricetulus griseus (Chinese hamster)
Lineage: Eukaryota; Metazoa; Chordata; Mammalia; Rodentia; Cricetidae
Source: RNAcentral
UUCUCAAACCUGGACCCUUUGAUA